RNAcentral lists this ribosomal RNA (490 nucleotides) under uncultured bacterium. RNAcentral describes it as "bacterial SSU rRNA". It matches the Rfam family "Bacterial small subunit ribosomal RNA", at positions 28 to 507 of the family's 1533-position model. The record is from RNAcentral.
GAUGAACGCUAGCGGCAGGCUUAACACAUGCAAGUCGAGGGGCAGCACGGGUAGCAAUACCUGGUGGCGACCGGCGCAAGGGUGCGUAACGCGUGAGCAACAUGCCCUAUACAGGGGGAUAAUCCAGGGAAACUUGGUCUAAUAUCCCAUAGCAUUUAGAGGAGGCAUCUUCACUAAAUUAAAGCUUCGGUGGUAUAGGAUUGGCUCGCGUGACAUUAGCUAGAUGGUGAGGUAACGGCCCACCAUGGCUAUGAUGUCUAGGGGUUCUGAGAGGAAGACCCCCCACACUGGGACUGAGACACGGCCCAGACUCCUACGGGAGGCAGCAGUGAGGAAUAUUGGACAAUGGAUGGAAAUCUGAUCCAGCCAUGCCGCGUGCAGGAAGACGGCCCUAUGGGUUGUAAACUGCUUUUGUACGGAACGAAACGGUGAGCUCUAAUAAAGCUUGCUAAUGACGGUACCGUAAGAAUAAGCACCGGCUAACUACGUG